This 353-nucleotide long non-coding RNA is filed under the name Ananas comosus (pineapple). Its description in RNAcentral is "long non-coding RNA (ACOM_LNC038381)". Lineage: Eukaryota; Viridiplantae; Streptophyta; Magnoliopsida; Poales; Bromeliaceae. The record is from RNAcentral.
AUGUCUUGAGUUCACGCUGGGUAAGUGCAACGUGAUCGCCACUGAUGGUUAAGUCUUGUGGCUCGAGCCGUGUUCAGCGUGUGCGACGAUUUCGCCGCUAGGAGGCUGAGUCAGAGAGAGUGCGGUAGGCUGUUGAGCAGCCAGUGCGCGGACUAUCCGCGGAUGAUUGACUCGAAGCCGAGUCGGGUGGUUAGCUAUGAUAGGGUAGAGGAACCCUUAUGAGCUAGAGAUAGAGGCUUGAGCUAAGGUAAUAGAAACCUUAGAAGCCAGUGAAUAGUGUUGAGUUCCUAAGGUAAUAGAAACCUUAGAGUAAAGUUAUGUGCUGGAGCAGCUAAGUAAAGGUAGAAUUAAAU